GCCAGGCAUGGUGGCGCAAGCCUGUAAUCCCAGGGGCUUGGAGGCUGAGGCAGGAGGAUCGCAAGUUCAAAGCCAGCCUCAGCAAAAACAAGGCUGUAAGCAACUCAGUGAGACCCUGUCUUUA
Molecule: small RNA, 124 nt
Filed under: Marmota monax (woodchuck)
Lineage: Eukaryota; Metazoa; Chordata; Mammalia; Rodentia; Sciuridae
Source: RNAcentral